RNAcentral lists this ribosomal RNA (549 nucleotides) under Cellulomonas sp. RNAcentral describes it as "bacterial SSU rRNA". It matches the Rfam family "Bacterial small subunit ribosomal RNA", at positions 242 to 803 of the family's 1533-position model. Lineage: Bacteria; Bacillati; Actinomycetota; Actinomycetes; Micrococcales; Cellulomonadaceae. The record is from RNAcentral.
CAGCUUGUUGGUGGGGUGAUGGCCUACCAAGGCGACGACGGGUAGCCGGCCUGAGAGGGCGACCGGCCACACUGGGACUGAGACACGGCCCAGACUCCUACGGGAGGCAGCAGUGGGGAAUAUUGCACAAUGGGCGCAAGCCUGAUGCAGCGACGCCGCGUGAGGGAUGACGGCCUUCGGGUUGUAAACCUCUUUCAGCAGGGAAGAAGCGCAAGUGACGGUACCUGCAGAAGAAGCGCCGGCUAACUACGUGCCAGCAGCCGCGGUAAUACGUAGGGCGCAAGCGUUGUCCGGAAUUAUUGGGCGUAAAGAGCUCGUAGGCGGUUUGUCGCGUCUGCUGUGAAAUCCUCAGGCUCAACCUGGGGCUUGCAGUGGGUACGGGCAGACUAGAGUGCGGUAGGGGUGACUGGAAUUCCUGGUGUAGCGGUGGAAUGCGCAGAUAUCAGGAGGAACACCGAUGGCGAAGGCAGGUCACUGGGCCGCAACUGACGCUGAGGAGCGAAAGCAUGGGGAGCGAACAGGAUUAGAUACCCUGGUAGUCCAUGCCGU